UUUCAAAAAGGGUAAUCAUGUUUAAAAUAUGAAUGAUAAAGGGGAGUUGGCCGUGGGAACAAUUAUUUGUCAGGGAUGCAACUGUACGAUUGAUCAUUUUGAAGAUGAAAAGGUUACAACGUUAUACGGACGAUGUCAGGGAUGCGAAGAAGGAAUCGAAAUUCCAGAAUAAUAGAAUAAAAGCAGCGACCUGUCAUGAGGUCGCUGCUUUUUGU
RNAcentral lists this small RNA (215 nucleotides) under Priestia koreensis. Its description in RNAcentral is "Bacillus koreensis SR1 sRNA". It matches the Rfam family "SR1 sRNA". Lineage: Bacteria; Bacillati; Bacillota; Bacilli; Caryophanales; Bacillaceae. The record is from Rfam by way of RNAcentral.